CAAACCACCCGCGGCGAGAGCAGCUGCAAACAGCGCCCGGAGCAGGAGAGAGAGGAGUGGACAGCGCCCUGACCCGCCCCCAGCGCAGGCUCCACCUGCCCAGCCAGGGCCCAGAGAGUGGCACAGUGCUUGAAGCACCGCAACAUCCCUUUGGACUUGAGAUCUGGAGCCGCCCUUGACGAGCCAGUCAUUGAGUUACGGGUGGAUCUGGAUACCCCGGCGCCUGCGGGUCCUGCCAUCGAAGGGCAGAUCCUUCAAGGACUGCUGGGCCUUGGUGGACAACCCAGAGAGGAGCAGCCAAGAAACUCACCACAUUGAGAUAGCGGAAGCCAUGGUGUGGGCAGCAGCGUCCGGAGCUCUGGCGUCCGGAGCCUGCCUGGAGGGUUGCCCUGGCUGCAGUUGUGCCCUCAUUGAGGAUCACUCGGAACUCCUUGGAAGCCUUGGGAAGUGACCCUUCAAACUUGGCCAUGGCUUGCCACAUAUUAAAGUCAUAUCGGCCAAAGACGGGUUGGUGGUUGGCCACUCUCAGCUGAAGGCUGGAAGACGAAUAA
Long non-coding RNA from Malaclemys terrapin pileata, 551 nucleotides. RefSeq lists it as uncharacterized. The transcript is spliced from 3 exons. The record is from RefSeq and is a predicted model, not a curated record. NCBI's taxonomy places the organism in Eukaryota, Metazoa, Chordata, Testudines, Emydidae.